AAAAAGUAUACAAAGAGAUUAUUAUGGAUCCCUAAGCUAUGUAUUAAAGAGCAACAAGACAAUGAUGUAUAAAAUUUAUUGUACAUGGUAAACUCUUAGAUAAAUUAAAUAAUAAACGAAGGCGAAUUGAAAUAUCUUAGUAGCUUCAGGAAAAGAAAUCAAACGAGAUUCUAUGAUUAGUGUGAACGAAAGUAGAUUAGCCUAUAUACUAUAAAGUAUAUUAAUAAGUAAAAUGGACGCAAAUCUGUUUGAAGAUUAAGGGGAACCUUCCUCUAAGGCUAAAUAUAAUACAUAAGCGACAGUGAAAAGUACCGUGAGGGAACGGGAAUUGAAAUAGUAAUUUUAUAAGCAGCUCGAACCAAAAUGAGAGCGUACCUUUUGCAUAAUGGGUCACCAAGUUAACCUUAGAUGCGAGCUAAUCGCGUAGUUAAAACGAUGAUCAAUCAAAUGAAUUAGUGUCUAAAGUUAGACCCGAAGCUAGGUGAUCUUACUACAAUCAGGAGUAUAAAAGUCCGAACCGGUUAUUGUAGCAAAAAUAUCGGAGGAAUUGUGGUAAGUAUAGUGAAAGACAAAACUGACCUAGAUAGCUGGUUUUCUGCGAAACCUAUAAUAGUAGGCAAUUUAAGUAACAUUUUAGCAGGUACAGAACUUCAUCUCAGACAAGGUGUAUUAAAUUUGAUUAAAAGUUUUAGUCGGUUUUACCGCGAACUUUUAGUUAAAUCGACAUCUUACUUUGUACAUAUCGGGGGAUCGUAGAGAUUUUAUCGGUGAGUUUGUAGACUCGAAAUGGCAAAAAUGAAUAUUAAAUUAUCAGACAUAGAAUGAUAAGGUUGUAUGUCAAAAGGGAAACAGCCCAGAACAAGAGUUAAGGUUCCGAAAUUAUUGUUAAGUGAAAUUAAGAAAGUUUUUAUUUAAGUCGACAAGGAGAUGGGCUUAGAAGCAGCCAUAAUUCAAAGACCUCGUAACAGAGCGCUUGUUAAUUUUUAAAGGCAUCGAAAAUUUAACGGAUCUAAACAAUAUACCGAUACCUUGUCCAUAACUGAUUAUAAAUUUAUAUUACAAGACGAUAAGUUUUGAAUUAUAAUCUUUUACUGGGGUAGCAGAACAUUGGGUAAACCUGCAGCAUUCCAUCGUUUUUACGAUGGAUGCGACUCCAUUGGAGAUGAUGAUAAUUAUAUCAUCACAGCAAACUCAAGAGAGAAUGGUGACAUGAGUAACAAAAAAGAAGUUCGAACAUAAGUUCGAACACUCGCCUAAAGCUUAUGGUUUAAUUAAAGUAACGGCCUCUAAGUUUUCACUUCCAAAGGUUGAAACGAUGAGAAAAUCUUAUUACUUAAAUGACAACAUUUUUAAAGUGAAAAGUGUGCAGGAAAAAUUAAGUAAUAUAUCUCUAUAUAUAAGAAAUGACUAUAUAAAGAUGAAAAAAAAACCGUACCUAGAAACUGUGACAAGUAAGCUAGUGUAGUAUACGAAGGCGUAAAUGAGCUAACAAUCAUAAAGGAACUCGGCAAACUAACUUCCGUAACUUAGGGAUAAGGAGGGCUCAUUCGUCCCGUGGGAUCUUUUAUUAUUACGGUAAUAAAAACUACGGGUAAGAAGGAAGAAGCAUGAAAUAUUGUUGUACGACUGUUUAAUUAAAACAAAGCACUUUGCAUACGACUUAAGUCUAAGUAUAGAGUGUGAUUUCUGCCCGGUGCCGGCUGGUUAACGAAAAUAACUAACUUUAAAAAGUUUGGUACUGUAGGAACCCCCGGUUAAUGGCGGCCUUAGCGUGAGGGUCCUAAGGUAGCGGAAUACCUUGACUGUUAAAUGCAGUCUUUGCAUGAAUGAUGUAACGAUACAACAGCUGUCUCUAUGAUUGACUCAGUGAAAUUGGCAUAACUGUGCAGAUACAGUUUACCUCUAGUUAGACGAGAAGACCCUAUGCAGCUUUACUGUUACUAAUUAUUAGGUACGGUUGGGGACAAAUAUCAGCAAAUAAGGUAAUUGAUAAGAUACAAAUGUAAUACCUUUAUUUGGGGAUCGUAUUGUGAGGAUUAUUUAAUCCCCGUCUUUUCUGUAAAAAGAAAAGAAUGUAACCUUAGAAAGGAAAAAUUGCUAGGAGACAGUUUAUGCGGGGCACAGACCCCAUAAAGAGUAAAUGGGUGUGUCCAACUAUGUUUUAUGUUUGUUUAGGCGUUUAUCGCCAAUAGAUGUAUCACUAAAUAAAAUAUUAGCAAAACUAAUAUUUGUUUGUUUGUAAUAGUAGAUAGCACGGCUAUACAGCUAGCUAUAUUCUAUCUUAUUUAUGUAUAGAUGUACAAGCCUAAGUAUAAGAGGCGUGAGUCUCUUAUAUUUAAUAAUUCUUGCUUUUCUGUAAAUAGAUGCUGUUGUUUCAGUAUAGAUUUGCAGGGUAUUAAGGAGGAGAAUUUUUUUU
Molecule: ribosomal RNA, 2416 nt
Filed under: Neopestalotiopsis cubana
Lineage: Eukaryota; Fungi; Ascomycota; Sordariomycetes; Amphisphaeriales; Sporocadaceae
Description: large subunit ribosomal RNA
Rfam family: Bacterial large subunit ribosomal RNA (bases 15-1875)
Source: RNAcentral